RNAcentral lists this ribosomal RNA (587 nucleotides) under uncultured bacterium. RNAcentral describes it as "bacterial SSU rRNA". It matches the Rfam family "Bacterial small subunit ribosomal RNA", at positions 102 to 685 of the family's 1533-position model. The record is from RNAcentral.
ACGGGUGAGUAAUACAUCGGAACGUGCCCGAUCGUGGGGGAUAACGCAGCGAAAGCUGUGCUAAUACCGCAUACGAUCUACGGAUGAAAGCGGGGGAUCGCAAGACCUCGCGCGGACGGAGCGGCCGAUGGCAGAUUAGGUAGUUGGUGAGGUAAAGGCUCACCAAGCCGUCGAUCUGUAGCUGGUCUGAGAGGACGACCAGCCACACUGGGACUGAGACACGGCCCAGACUCCUACGGGAGGCAGCAGUGGGGAAUUUUGGACAAUGGGCGCAAGCCUGAUCCAGCCAUGCCGCGUGCAGGAUGAAGGCCUUCGGGUUGUAAACUGCUUUUGUACGGAACGAAACGGCCUUUUCUAAUAAAGAAGGCUAAUGACGGUACCGUAAGAAUAAGCACCGGCUAACUACGUGCCAGCAGCCGCGGUAAUACGUAGGGUGCAAGCGUUAAUCGGAAUUACUGGGCGUAAAGCGUGCGCAGGCGGUGAUGUAAGACAGAUGUGAAAUCCCCGGGCUCAACCUGGGAACUGCAUUUGUGACUGCAUCGCUGGAGUGCGGCAGAGGGGGAUGGAAUUCCGCGUGUAGCAGUGAA